This 119-nucleotide ribosomal RNA is filed under the name Triticum aestivum (bread wheat). RNAcentral also lists the same sequence under 2 other names. The record is from RNAcentral. Lineage: Eukaryota; Viridiplantae; Streptophyta; Magnoliopsida; Poales; Poaceae.
GUAUGCGAUCAUACCAGCACUAAAGCACCGGAUCCCAUCAGAACUCCGAAGUUAAGCGUGCUUGGGCGAGAGUAGUACUAGGAUGGGUGACCUCCUGGGAAGUCCUCGUGUUGCAUUCC